Molecule: RNA transcript, 2085 nt
Organism: Fundulus heteroclitus (mummichog)
Lineage: Eukaryota; Metazoa; Chordata; Actinopteri; Cyprinodontiformes; Fundulidae
Gene name: zinc finger BED domain-containing protein 4
Exons: 6
Source: RefSeq, a predicted model, not a curated record
UGCAGUGCGUGGCGCAGAAAAAGAACGUCAGGGGUCGAUUACGAAUAUUAUGGCAGCCCUCUACUGAAGCUUCGAAACGAGCUUCAACCCCACAUCAGACCCCCAAACAGCGCCGUGUCAGAGCUUAGGAACAAUGGCUGAUUUGUAAGCGCUGUUACGGGAAUUGUUGCUGUUGAGCGACAGAAUGGAGCCGUCCAGGAAGAGAGGUCGUUCUGACAUGUGGGGAUACUUUAAAUUGAUCGCUCCUGAUAAGGUCCGAUGCUCGGUGUGUUCAGCUGAGCUGAAGUAUCAUUCGAAUACUUCCUCCAUGAUUAGGCACUUCACUAUCCAGCAUGGGGCUGUGGUCAAGCAAGUGAAGACAAACGAAGUCGACCAGAAGCCAGACCUAGAUGACACGCUUGUGAACAUGCUGGUGGAGCACUCGCAGCCUUUUCCCAAAGUGGCCACGUUGCUUUUGAGUGAAAGUACAGGGCAACCCAGGAAGAAAGGUCGUUCUGAUAUGUGGGAAUAUUUCAAAUUGAUCACCCCUGACAGGGUCCGGUGCUCGGUGUGUUCAGCUGAGCUGAAGUAUCAUGGGAAUACUUCCUCCAUGAUUAGGCACUUCACUAGCCAGCAUGGAGCUGUGGGCAAGCAAGUGAAGACAAACGAAGUCGACCAGAAGCCAGACCUAGAUGACACGCUUGUGAACAUGCUGGUGGAGCGCUCGCAGCCUUUUCCCAAAGUGGCCACGUUGCUUUUGAAUGAAAGUACAGAGCCACCCAGGAAGAAAGGUCGUUCUGAUAUGUGGGAAUAUUUCAAAUUGAUCACCCCUGACAGGGUAGGUGUGCUGGCUCUUCUCAAUAAUGGUGCUUGUAGAGCAGAUGCGCCCCUGUAUUUACAAGCGGGGCAGCAAACUUGUUUUCCUGUUCCCCUAUUUAUUACAGAAGCUAUGCCGGAGCAGUGGAGAACACAGUGCAGAAACAAUUGCCCUAUCCGAGUGCUUACUUUGCAAACCUCGGACAUAAUAAUUGCGCCUCACGGAGCAGAUUCCAGCUCCGGCUGUGAUAAUGAGACAGAGACCUGGCCGGAGCUACCUAAAUUGGCUGGCAUAUUUAUUUUCUCUCUGCUAAAGAAAACAUUACAAGACCCUUCAAUAAAAUGGCUCAUACGGUCACAUUUCAUCUGUAUUGUACAAGAAAUUUAAAGGAGAGACUGUAUGCUCAUGUAGAACGGGAAGCUCUCCUUCACACUUCAUCAGCAGACUUGGUUCUGUUGCCUUCACAUAGCGAACGCAUAUGUUUAGUAUCAACGGUCAAGACUAGUUCACUUUAAACAUCUUUAGCAAACAGGAAGUUCUUAUAAGUAAUUGCUAAAUUUUAGUCCCAUAGGUGAGGUGGUUCGAUUCCUCUCACUGCAUCCAAGUCAGUUUGUCUCAGCUGCAUCUUCUCGCUAGGACAGGUUUACAGCAGUGGGCAAGAAAGUUGAACUGAGCCCAAACUCAAUCAGCCUUUUCAAUGUUUUAACAGUUCUGCAUCUCUUUCACGCUCCAAAAACCAGAUGCUAUACAGUAGAAAACUUUCCAUUGCUGUUUCCUGUGUGGGCUGCAGGCGGCUACAUGUAACCAAUCUGCUACGACGCGACCUCCAGCAGCCACAUGUGGACUCUUUUGUUCCUCAACACCCGAGGACUGUUUUCUAAUUAAAUCUAGCCCUCAACACAUUAAAUGGGCUGUAAAAUCUAUAUCUAACAGACACAACAAAAAAAACUAUAGAGGUAUAGAUGUGCAGAGUAAGCCUCUUCGUCACAUGCAAAUCAGACAGUAUUAUAUUCCUUUUAUCUGGUCUCUUUUAUUUUUAGGUGCUCGGGGCUAACAAUGUGGUGGUUGGUGGAAGUGGAGGAGUUUCCUAGUAAGAGCAUUGUAACCCACUGGGGUAAAACUUUUUUGACUCAUAAUGUGUUUUUAUCUUGUGCAGGUCCGGUGCUCGGUGUGUUCAGCUGAGCUGAAGUAUAAUGGGAAUACUUCCUCCAUGAUUAGGCACUUCACUAGCCAGCAUGGAGGUGCGGCUAACCAGAGGAAGACAAGCCAAGACGACCGGAAGCGAGUGC